UACGUAGGGGGCAAGCGUUGUCCGGAAUCAUUGGGCGUAAAGAGCGUGUAGGCGGCCCGGUAAGUCCGCCGUGAAAGUCCAGGGCUCAACCCUGGAAUGCCGGUGGAAACUGCCGGGCUGGAGUCCGGAAGAGGCGAGUGGAAUUCCUGGUGUAGCGGUGAAAUGCGCAGAUAUCAGGAGGAACACCGGUGGCGAAGGCGGGUCUCUGGGCCGAUACUGACGCUGAGGAGCGAAAGCGUGGGGAGCGAACAGG
This 253-nucleotide ribosomal RNA is filed under the name uncultured bacterium. RNAcentral describes it as "partial 16S ribosomal RNA". It matches the Rfam family "Bacterial small subunit ribosomal RNA", at positions 524 to 776 of the family's 1533-position model. The record is from RNAcentral.